Molecule: ribosomal RNA, 450 nt
Filed under: Septoglomus viscosum
Lineage: Eukaryota; Fungi; Glomeromycota; Glomeromycetes; Glomerales; Glomeraceae
Description: SSU rRNA
Rfam family: Eukaryotic small subunit ribosomal RNA
Source: RNAcentral
UUGGAGGGCAAGUCCGGUGCCAGCAGCCGCGGUAAUUCCAGCUCCAAUAGCGUAUAUUAAAGUUGUUGCAGUUAAAAAGCUCGUAGUUGAACUUCGGGAUCAAUGGAUUGGUCAUGCCGAUGGUAUGUACUGGUCAUAUUGGUUCUCACCUUCUAAGGAACCAUGAUGUCAUUCACUUGGUGUUGUGGGGAAUUAGGACUGUUACCUUGAAAAAAUUAGAGUGUUUAAAGCAGGCUAACGCUUGAAUACAUUAGCAUGGAAUAAUGAAAUAGGACAUCGCAUUCUAUUUUGUUGGUUUCUAGGAUCGAUGUAAUGAUUAAUAGGGAUAGUUGGGGGCAUUAGUAUUCAAUUGUCAGAGGUGAAAUUCUUGGAUUUAUUGAAGACUAACUACUGCGAAAGCAUUUGCCAAGGAUGUUUUCAUUAAUCAAGAACGAAAGUUAGGGGAUCGAA